RNAcentral lists this ribosomal RNA (251 nucleotides) under uncultured prokaryote. Its description in RNAcentral is "partial 16S rRNA". It matches the Rfam family "Bacterial small subunit ribosomal RNA", at positions 525 to 775 of the family's 1533-position model. The record is from RNAcentral.
ACGGAGGAUCCAAGCGUUAUCCGGAUUUAUUGGGUUUAAAGGGUGCGUAGGCGGACUUAUAAGUCAGUGGUGAAAGUUUGCAGCUUAACUGUAAAAUUGCCGUUGAAACUGUUAGUCUUGAGUGUAAAUAAGGUAGGCGGAAUGUGUUGUGUAGCGGUGAAAUGCUUAGAUAUAACACAGAACACCAAUUGCGAAGGCAGCUUACUGGGAUACAACUGACGCUGAGGCACGAAAGCGUGGGGAUCAAACAG